This 19-nucleotide small RNA is filed under the name Arabidopsis thaliana (thale cress). RNAcentral describes it as "ATSL028380". Lineage: Eukaryota; Viridiplantae; Streptophyta; Magnoliopsida; Brassicales; Brassicaceae. The record is from RNAcentral.
UUUUUUUUCUGUUUUUUUU